Molecule: ribosomal RNA, 253 nt
Filed under: uncultured bacterium
Lineage: Bacteria
Description: partial 16S ribosomal RNA
Rfam family: Bacterial small subunit ribosomal RNA
Source: RNAcentral
UACGUAGGAAGCAAGCGUUGUCCGGAAUUACUGGGCGUAAAGCGCGUGUAGGCGGAUAGGCAAGUCUGCUGUGAAAGCUCUCGGCUUAACCGGGAGAGGUCGGUGGAAACUGCCUGACUAGAGGACGGUAGAGGGGGGUGGAAUUCCCGGUGUAGUGGUGAAAUGCGUAGAGAUCCGGAGGAACACCAGAGGCGAAGGCGGCCUACUGGGCUGCACCUGACGCUGAGCCGCGAAAGCCAGGGGAGCGAACGGG